AAGUGGAGAAAAAAAUGGAACAACUCUCAGGUGAACUCCCUGGCAUAGGCAGGAGUGGAGGAGUGCUGCCACUGCCAUCAUCUUGGAAGAUGGUGUGUGCUUCUUGCUGCAGGAGACCAGUGCCCCUUUUUACCUCAUUCUGUUAAGGAAGGUCUGUGCAAAUCUUUUUCUAGGAUCUGUGUCGACUGCUAGAGCUGGUGUGAAGUUAAAAGUAUGGGCAGCAGUGAUCCAGCCAGCUGGGGUUUUGAAAAGAAACCUGUAAUGCCAAAUGUGAAUGCUGAGCAGCUGACUCUGUUAGUACCUGUCAGACUGGGCGGAUCAGAAAAUGCAGCAGAGGCAUCCACUCUUGGCCACAGUUGACAAGGAGAUACCAGUGCUGACAGAUCUUUUGCCUGACAGAUGUAGCUGCUCUUGCAGGACUGCUGUGAGUGGUAAACAUGCCCAUCUGUGCUGUGAAGCUGGAG
Molecule: long non-coding RNA, 464 nt
Organism: Centrocercus urophasianus (Greater sage-grouse)
Lineage: Eukaryota; Metazoa; Chordata; Aves; Galliformes; Phasianidae
Exons: 3
Source: RefSeq, a predicted model, not a curated record